RNAcentral lists this unclassified non-coding RNA (580 nucleotides) under Ralstonia solanacearum. RNAcentral's name for it is "partial contains 16S-23S ribosomal RNA intergenic spacer and 23S ribosomal RNA". The stretch from base 40 to 113 matches the Rfam family "tRNA". The record is from RNAcentral. Lineage: Bacteria; Pseudomonadati; Pseudomonadota; Betaproteobacteria; Burkholderiales; Burkholderiaceae.
GGCGUCCACACUUAUCGGUUUGUUUGAUGUUACAGCCAAGGGUCUGUAGCUCAGGUGGUUAGAGCACCGUCUUGAUAAGGCGGGGGUCGUAGGUUCAAGUCCUACCAGACCCACCAAGUUACGGGCGGCGGAGAGCGAUCUUGCCGUGAACUGGGGGAUUAGCUCAGCUGGGAGAGCACCUGCUUUGCAAGCAGGGGGUCGUCGGUUCGAUCCCGUCAUCCUCCACCAACACCUUGUGGUAGCCAAACGCAAGCAUCGAGAGAUCGGUGUUUGCGUUUGGCAUUGCCAAGACGAGUAGUAACUCGGCUGUUCUUUAACAAUAUGGAAUGUAGUAAAGGUGUCGCGGCGCGUUGAUGAGGCGCGCAAUUUAAACGCGACACUGGGUUGUGAUUGUAUCAACCAGUAUUACGAGUGAUCGAAAGACCGCUUGGAAUACGGCACAACGCGAGAACUCAGCCUAUAGCGAGACAUACUCGUUAUAGGGUCAAGCGAAUAAGUGCAUGUGGUGGAUGCCUUGGCGAUCACAGGCGAUGAAGGACGUAGUAGCUUGCGAAAAGCUGCGGGGAGCUGGCAAACGAGC